GACAGAGGAGGCGAGCGUUAUCCGGAGUUAUUGGGCGUAAAGGGUACGUAGGCGGCUGGUCAAGUCUGGGGUUAAAGACCACAGCUUAACUGUGGGGGGGCCUUGGAAACUGACCGGCUGGAGUGGGGCAGGGGUUGCGGGGAUUCCCGGUGUAGCGGUGAAAUGCGUCGAUAUCGGGAAGAACACCUGAUGCGAAAGCGCGCAACUGAGCCCUAACUGACGCUGAGGUACGAAAGCUAGGGGAGCGAAUGGG
RNAcentral lists this ribosomal RNA (253 nucleotides) under uncultured bacterium. RNAcentral's name for it is "partial 16S ribosomal RNA". It matches the Rfam family "Bacterial small subunit ribosomal RNA", at positions 524 to 776 of the family's 1533-position model. The record is from RNAcentral.